AUCUUGGUGCCUCCUAAAUACAGCAUAAAAAUCGAGCAGAGGAGAUAGACUUUGGAGACAAAACACACCAACUAAAACGUAUCAUCAUGCCCAAACAUAUUACCAGAAACACUGGAAUAAGAUCAACAAUAGGUAUUAGAAAACUUUUGAAACUGUAUCAUAAGAACAACACCCAAAAGCCCAAGGUGUCCCUUUCCUCUCAGCAAUCCCAGGGCAAUCAAGGGAAACUACUUCCUCUUGAUACUCAGGCUGAAAACAGUGGUUCAAAUAAGAUUAAUUCAAACAAUUUUUGAACAGGUUUAUGCUAGCCAUCUUAAACUGUGAUAGCAAUGGAGAGAACCGUACCACUUGAGAGGUCAACGACAUUGUGACACGGUGGUGCCAGCCCCAGUCACUCCUUGCAGCACAUGGUGCCCUCCCUCUCACACCACGCCACUGCUGCACUCUUACCUUACCAGUGGCCACAGCCCUUGCCGGAUUCUGGAAGUUUCAGCAUCAAAAGAAAGCACAGCCCAAACCGCUGUUCACUUCACCUCGCUCUCCCUGCAGACAGCAUAGCACCCCACAGCCAGGUAGUGCCAGUGCUGGAAGCUUCCUGAAAGUGGGCGGCAACAGCGGUGGCACAGCCCAGCCUUGCCUCACAAAGGCCCCACAUGCUGUCCCUGUGCUGUGACUGCCCCGCUGCUGGCAGGUGUUAUCAUGGCUUCUGCAAGCGGCUUGUGCGGGACUUGUGCACAGCUGCUGUGUUCUGCCUCCUGUGAUCACUCGGCAAAGUCCUCCUCUUCUCCUGAUCCCUUACUUAGCAAGGGACAAUCUGUCAUGAAAAUACCAGGAGACAGAAACAUACCUCUGUGCAGUCCCUUCAAUUGUUCACUGCAGACACAAAGGAUAGAGCAAAGUUGCAAACCUAUUGGAGAUCCUGAAGGAGUAUCAUUGCCUAUGACUCCCUCUAGUGAUUCUGCUAUGUGAAAUACAGCCAUCGACAGAUAACAGCCAUAUGAAGUCACCCCGAAUUCUUCACUAGAUACAUUCUUCAAGUCUAGAAUAAAGUUUUUUUCAUAAUGGCA
Molecule: long non-coding RNA, 1067 nt
Filed under: Anas platyrhynchos platyrhynchos (common mallard)
Lineage: Eukaryota; Metazoa; Chordata; Aves; Anseriformes; Anatidae
Description: lncRNA (ENSAPLG00000018960.1)
Source: RNAcentral